Molecule: ribosomal RNA, 425 nt
Filed under: uncultured bacterium
Lineage: Bacteria
Description: bacterial SSU rRNA
Rfam family: Bacterial small subunit ribosomal RNA
Source: RNAcentral
GUGAGGAAUUUUGCGCAAUGGGGGCAACCCUGACGCAGCGACGCCGCGUGGAGGACGAAGUCUUUCGGGAUGUAAACUCCUGUCAGUGGGGACGAUAAUGACGGUACCCACAGAGGAAGCACCGGCUAACUCCGUGCCAGCAGCCGCGGUAAGACGGAGGGUGCAAGCGUUGUUCGGAAUUACUGGGCGUAAAGCGUAUGUAGGCGGCAAGUUAAGUUCAAUGUUAAAGCCCACGGCUCAACCGAGGAGAUGCAUUGAAUACUGGCUAGCUAGAGGGUGUUAGAGGAAGACGGAAUUCCCAGUGUAGCGGUGAAAUGCGUAGAUAUUGGGAGGAACAUCGGUAGCGAAAGCGGUCUUCUGGGACAUACCUGACGCUGAGGUACGAAAGCGUGGGGAGCAAACGGGAUUAGAAACCCGUGUAGUCC